ACGAGAGUUUGGUUGAUGCAAUGCAACAUGGGAGAAUUGUCUCCUGCUGUUGUUCCCUGGUGUAUAUGGGACUUCUGCAUGCUCUGUGUGUUCACGCUUUACAGUGCUCAAAGGUUCAAAUAAGAUUGCAAAAGUGAAGUUUUUCACUUGCAUUGAUAGUAUUCAACUACUGUAUUUGGCAAAUCAGCCUGUGGUGAUUGUCGAUCAACCUGGCAGUGAAACAAGAAUAUUCAAUGAGCUCACCCUUUGUUAACGGGUUAUAUCUGCAUCAAUGUGUUUUUCUUGCUUCAGAUGACAUCCGUACCAUAUCAGACUGACGCCAUUGCCGCACAAGUAAACUGCCGUUUUGUCAAUGACUGAUAUUCUCAGCCUUGAAGAAGCAGAUCUUUCAACAUCUCCAACAAACAACAUGAGUUCAGGCAACGCUGGCACAGGGCUUAAGGAUGCAAAUUUGGAACCUACAGGAUACCCUCCAACCCUGUUUAUAUUCAACUAAAUGAACUAAAUUUUCAGAAUUCACCUAAUAACUUCAGUAAAAAUAGUUCAUUUGGUUGAAGGAGGGUAUCCUCUAGGUUCCAAAUUUGCAACCCUGUCAGGGCUGCGCUUCACCUUGCAUCUACCAGGAAAGUUACUAGAACCACAUAUCUUUAACUAAACUACAAAAGCACCAAGUACUCCCUCUGUAAACUAAUGUAAGACGUUUUAAAUCACUAUUAGUUUACGGAGGGGGUAUCUUCAUAUACUGGAGGAGGGGGUAUCUUCAUAUACUGGAGUGCUGGUUUAUUAGCUUCGGAAGGAGCGCGCAUGCUGUGAAGAUGUACAUAAUAGUGCAUACGUAUAAACACCAAAGUUAAAAACAGAGCAAAACCCAUCGCAGCCAGCGAAGCAAAAUAGUCAGCUUACAUAAGUUCAAGAGUGCAUUACAAAACCAGCAUAUAUAUAGUAUAACACACUCAAAAGGAAUGUACCAUUAUGGGAAAGAAUUUUCACCACAGAACAAUUUUCCUUAUAUCAGGAAUUUUUUACUUGUGAAUUGGGCUCAGUGCCUUUGAAAUAUUUGCGCCUUCCUGUUUUUGAUGUUAGAAUUAGAAAUAAACUGUCAAAAAUUAUGACUAAAAAAAUUGAGAAAAGGUGUGCUUAUUGGCAGGGGAGGUUGUCGAACAUAGCUCAGAGAGUUACACUGGUUCAGUCAUGUCUGACUAAUAUACCAAUUUAUAUGAUGUCUUUUUACAGAUGAUGCCUUUAAAAAAAAUCAUGGUAGUAUAGAGAACACUAGAGGUAAUAAAAAUUACACCAGGUCCAUGUGUCGGCGUUCUGGGAACGGGGGUCCCAGGACUUGCCUGCCUGCGGCCUGCGGCGUGGCUCAAAGGGGGGCCCAGCACGACCCGUCUUCACCAACACAAACCCAAGACCCUCGCGAGGGGCCAAGCCUCGCGGGGCGGACGACGCGGAGCUUCCUCAGGCACGGCCUCGUCAGGCUGGCUCACGAGGAGGCGGAGAGAUCAAGGCGGGGUACUUCACGAGGUGCCCGUGACGCAAGCCAUGACGACUCAGGGCGCCAGGCGGGUGCCAGCCCGCGCAGCGUCCUCCUUUCCUCUUUAGUGCAAAGGGGGCAAGCGCAGCCGCGGAGUACCGAGGCAUCAGGCAAAGGUUGCCAUUUCGGUGUAACGAGACCAAGACCAGGAGGACUACAAGAUGGAGGUCAUCGUGGAGCCCAAGACGGCGUCAUCACCAGAGCUUUGCGCAGGCGAAGACUACUUUUGUCAGGAUAGCUGAUACCAGCUGUCCCCCUUCAAAUUAGCCCGCCAUUGUUGGCUCCCUUCCCGCUCGAUAUUUGGGAAGAGGACCAGGGCCUCUAUAAAUAGGACCAGCCACCCACAGAGGGGGCGGAGGGGGUUCGGUCGGUUUUGCUGGAGGUGGAGAGAGAGAGAAGGUGACUGAACUCCUCCGAGCAGUUCAUUGCCCUAGCCAAGAACAAACCCUCGUGAGGCUGUUCUUCCUUGUAUUGUUCAUCAUCAUCAGCCCAAGAGGCAAUCCACCACACCACACACUGGAGUAGGGUAUUACACCACAACGGUGGCCUGAACCAGUAUAAACCCUGUGUCUCUUGUGUUGUUCUUUCCGUAGUUUUAGAUCCUAGCAUGGCGGAGGGGUGCAGGUAGAUAGGAGGCGAAAUCUCCGCGCGCACCCCAGUGUUCAAACCUCAAGGGUCUGCCGGAACCCGAAAUUCGACAUUUGGCGCGCCAGGUAGGGGUGCGCCGGAAUUCGUCUUCCACCGCUCCGUGCCCCGUCGCGUCGUCAUCACCAUGCCUGGCGACAGGGAGGGCAACCCAGACCCAUGGGCGGCAUGGCCCGCCCGCGCAGAGCCGCUCGCCUCGGGCGACCCCGUGCCCCAGGCAGCUCGCGGUCCGUAGGGCGCUGCAGGCCGCGGGCGACGCGGACAGGCUUCGACAGCUCUCACAUCGCGGCAGGCGUGGUCGGCAGCAAGGGCCUCCAAUCACGCCGCGACCACGACACCGUACGCCCGCUGGGAGCAAGCGAACUCGAGGGCUGCGCUCACGGUGGCCCGAGAGCUGCUGCAGUGCAGACUGCUGGAGGGCGGCCGCGACGUGCUGCUGGAGCGGGUGGCAGAGCUCCUGGGCUUCGCCGCCUCGGGGGCUCACCCCUUCUGCACCCAGCUCCCAUCUCCAACCCAGGGCGGCCCGCGCGGGGGCCCCGCGCGCGCCCGCGGGCUCCAAGGCUACUCCAACACCAGCGAGGCUGUCAGCACCGGACCGGCGGCGGCGCAGCCCCCGCUCCUGGUCCGCAAAGAAGAAGGACUCGACGCGCCCCGCGGCCCCAAUGGACAGCCGCGCUGCCACCCCACGGUAGGCGCGUCAGGCAGGACCGCGUGGCGCGCAGAGCACUACGGCGUGGCCUUCGGGGUGACGGCGCCAGAGGAAUACGUGCCCCUCAUGAUGGACCAAGGACACCCACACGAGGGCGAACAAGGCUCGCUCCUCAGCCCAAGUUGGGGGGACGAGGCGCCAGAAGCUAAGCCCUUCCAGGAGUCUCGGGAUGGUCCCACUGGACACGCUGGAGGCAACGAUUAUCGGGUACCGCUAAUUCCUCAGCAGGCAUACGCUAACCAUGGAUCGCAGGAGGUGCAGGUUGCCACGGCGGGCAGCUGCCCCGCUCCCAUAGUCUCCUACCCCUCGGGAGGAGGGCGCAGGGGGCUGCAGUAGAGGGGUAGGGAUUCGACAUCACCACCGCGGCGUUCGGAGCAAGGUGUUCUCAGGAGGUAGGCCCUCCGCUGGGGAGGUGCCCCAGGGCCUGCCCCCGGCGGAGGACCCGUGGUCGUCGGGGGAAUCGCUGGCGACCACUCUACCCCAUCGGCGGCGUCCUGGUUUCCGGUCGUCGUUGAUGGCACUAGAGUGUGGCGCAAGGCGGGGCCCUCAUCUGGCGAUAUGAAGCAAGGCCAGUACCUGUGAAGAAGGCCCAGUGCCUGUGAAGCUCGCCGUCCCGUGACACUCUCACGUAAUAAUGAGUGGGGUUGUACACGCCCCGGAGUCUCAGGGGUGCCGGCCUCAGGCCCUAGGGCUCCCUCCCACGCCCAGUGACAGCACUUAGCUCCGCGCUGGUGAGAAGACGUCCAAGACUAGACUAGGUGCCGGACGCGGCCUUUUGUUUGCUUUCGUUGCUCUUCCCCUUGGUUGUCGCUUCCCCCCGCUGGAUUCAAGUUGGAUUCGAAUUUGAGAUCUGCGUGUGUUCGGGGAAGGGGUGCUUACUCUCGUUCGAGCAAUUUCUCGCGUUUUGGUUACCACUUCGCCUCAGCCGUCUUCCCUCGCGAGCCCCUCGCGAGCCGGGUCAGGCCUAGCUUGCGCGCAGCCCAGACUGCCGCCGUCGCGUCCUCUCAGGAGGGUGUUUUACUGCAGAUCCUACGGAUUCAAUCAGGGGACACUCAGGACACCACAACCCCCCGCGGGCUGCCUCAGGGCCAGCACGAAACAAAGGUAAACUAGCCGACCAGCGUGUCGCUUAAGCCAGCCACCUGGCGCGAGCGCAUGGGCGAUGUAGCUUCUACUAAUACGAUAAACACAAGUUUUACAUGAGGGGCUUCCCCUCCAAAAUGCUCUCACAGCUAUCAGGCCAAAACCCGAGUUCUAUUCAUUCAGGGUGAGGAAGCAGGAACAAUGCACAAUCAGUCGGAUGAAUUCCCCAAUGCGUCCUCAGGAGCACCACCAGAGCCGUCCAUCACGCCGCCCUCGUCAGCCGCCACGAUCACGUCGUCGUUGUCCGAGGCGAAGGCCCUGAUAAGAGCGUCCACAUUGUCUUCCACCCAGUGCGCCAGCUCGCCUCGGACGGCCUGGGGGACUGGGGCGAUGGCGGCGUCAAAAUCAAAGUGGGGAUCCAUAUUCCGGAGGUGGCUGAAGACGCGAGAAAAGGCGCGCCUGAGCAGGGCGCGGCUCCUCUCCUCCACCAACCUGUCAGCCCUGAUCGACCGCGCCUCCAGCUGCGUCACCACGUCAGUGAAGAACUGAAGAUUGCCAGCAUAGUUGACUGCGUGCGGCUCGCCAACGGCCUCCUCGCAGAUGUUGCCCAAGGCUGCAUUGGCUCUUUCCCGGAGCAUGGUGAGCAUGGGACCGUGCUCGUGCUCCAGGAUCCGCCGCUGACGUAUCUCGUCCGCAUUCUGACGCGCGACGGCCUCAGCCUCCUCCACCCGCUGGCGAAGAAGGAGCACCUCGGCCAAGGAAGUGGUUAACUCACCUUGCGCCACCUCAAGGGCGGCCCGGGAAGUAUCGGCCCGCCGCAUUACCUCCUCCAGUUUGGACCUCAAGGCGGCAGUCCUGCCUUCAGCUUCGUCCCGGAUCAACCCCAGCUUCUCUUUGAACUCGUGCUCGAGGUUCAAAUGCGCCAUCGCCACUCGACGCCCGACCUCCUCCAGGACGCGGGCUUCCUGUGCAGCAACAUCAUCCUCCGCCUGCGUCACCAAGCGCUCCCUCGUCUCCAGACGCUCGUACUCGCGGGUACGUUCGGUGGCUUCCAGCGUCAGCGCCUCCUCACGCUUCUGGAGCUUUGCUGAGUCGCCAGAGGCCGCCUUCAUCGACGCGAGGGCUGCCUCGCGCAGCUCCACCUGCUCCUCCAGCGAGUGGCACCAGGCCAGAAGCUCCCGAGCCCGCUCCUCCGCAGCCGUUCGCCGCCGGUCAGCUUCCCGAGCCUCCUCGGCGGCCCGAGACCGGGCCUCCCGAGAGGCCACCAACGACGCAUUGGCCUCUGUUUCAUCAAGAUCACGCUGACGACACGCAAGGGCGAUGGCGCCCUCCAGCUCGCGCCUCUCUGCAGCCAGGCGCAGGCCCUCGGCCUCAAGGCGCACGUCUUCAUCAGCAAGCUCCUCACCAAGCAGGCUCACUGCGUCAGUCGCCCUUCGAAGGAAUCCUUGGCGGAGAGCGCGACGCUCCCGAGCGCGCUCGAGUACGUCUUCCACACCAUCAUCUGCCCCAAGCAAGCGCCGGGGGCCGCGAGUCAGCACUCCCCCUCCGGGCUGGGGGCUGGGGGCUGGCACCCUCGUGACGGCCGGGCAUGCCGUGUCAGAAGCCCGGCCUGGGGCCAACCCGUCCUCAGGAGAAGAGCGCAGGAAACGCCUCAGCCAACCGCAGUCCACGACCAGGCGAGAAGCCCAUGGCAGGCUAGAUAUGCCACGAGAAGGCCCGCGAAGGAGGAUCACGAGGUGCGCGGAGCCACGAUAUGCCUCAGGAUGGUUCGCCUCUUCAAUCGCCCUCACCACAAGGGCUCCGCUGCUCGGAGCGCUUGAGGAUGGUGGAGGGGGCGAGGUCAAGAGAGACGCCUCCUCAACCGUCUCCGCAAGCUCGGCUGGAAGGGGCCUGCGGAGCAAGGGUCAGUACAAGUAACAGAAGGAUCGAGAGCCGGGAAAGGAGAAGGCUUACUCAUCAGUGGCGAAGUACUUCCUACGCUUCAGCAGGUGACAGGGGUAAUCGUCGCCCAGGGCCUCCCUUCUCUUCUGGAGAGCCUCGAAGUUCACACGGAAGCGACCCAAGAGUUGGGUGCAUGGAUCAACCUUCGACGAAGACAGAGCGUCAAGGCGAUCUGCGGCAGGGGCGCCUGCCUGAUGUGCGCUGCCAAUCGCCUCCCCAAGAGAAGUAGCUGGAGCCUCAGGGGCCCUAGUCGCAGGCACUGAGGGCAGCUGCUCGUCACCCUCAGCCUCAGCGACACGGGCCCAAGAGCUGCUUCCUCAUGAGCCUCACCCGGCACUGUCACCGCGCCGGGAGCCCCCUCGGCCUCUGGCGCCUCGUGCCUCCCUGCUCCGCCACUCAAGGAUGAGUCGCCUUGGCCGACUGGAAGGGCAAUCACCACCACUGGGUUCUCGUGAGGCCCCUGAAGGCUGGCGGGACGCGGCCCCCACUCAUCAAAGACAGGCAUCUGCUUCACAAAGUCGCCCCUGCUCUGGCAGAGGUACAGCAAGGCCCCUCCCUGCCGGACGCUGCCGGGGUUGGGGUCCCCAGCCAGGGUCAAGAGUGCCGUCCUCAGCACCUCAGGAGUCAGGUCCUCUUCCUGGAGCCUCAUACGAUCCUCGCGCCCACGGAAGGCCCACAUCCGGCGAGAGUGGCGUUGAAAAGGAGCAAUGCGGCAUAGAAGGAACUCCUUCACCACCUUGGGCGCUGUCACGCCAAGCGACCUCAAGAGCACGAAGCGGCGCCAGACGAAGACGAGCCGGGGGCUCUCAAGCGUCUCCUGGCCCCAGCCCGAAUUGGGGACAGCAGGUGAGGUCGGCUCCGAUAGCAGGGGGCUGGGCACCCCUGCGUCCACAUACAGCCACCGCUCGCGGAACCCAACCGCGGGCAGGGGGAGCUUGAAGUCAAUCCUAGAGGCCGCAGUCUCGGACGCGGCAACGAAGUUCACGCAAGCCCAGCAUUGGGUAGGGUCGACAAGAUGCAACGAGAAGAAGUGGCGCAGCAAGGCAACCGAAGGAGGGAUGCCCACCAUAGCUUCACAAACAAAGGUGAAGACCGAAAGGAGGGUGAUGGAUUCAGGACCCAGAUGCAUCAUGUGGAUCUGAUAGUGGGAAAGCACGGCGUUGAAGAAAUCAGAAAAAGGAGGAACCAGACCCGCCCACAGGGCGUCGGCAAGAUACGGGACCUCGGUGGCUGUCCUGUCGAUGGAGAAGUGGGACGCGGGCCAGGCUGUCGUCCUCCCGCAUUCAUUGAAGAUGGUGGCCAGAGCCAAGCUGACCUUGCCCAAGCCCUCGGCGGGGGCCGCCGACGGCGGCGGGCAAGGCGGAGACACGGGUUUCUUCCCUCUCCCCUUCUUCGUUGGAGCCAUGGCGAUGGAAAGGGGGGGAAGGUUCGAGAUCAGGUUGAAAACAGAAGCCGGAGUUCGAGCGGAAGGAGGACAAAGGGCACUCGAGCAACAGAAAAGGGAACGGCUGUGUACGACUACGGGUCCGCCUAGCGUGGCGUAAAAUAAGGAGGGCGUGGGGGAACAGUGCCGCCCACGACCAAUCAACCGCCGCGCGGCGCCUAAGGCCGCAGGCUGUUAGGGCCCGCGGCGCUUCGCUCUUGCCCUUCCGCCUCCUUGCACGGCCAAGUCCGAGCGCGCCUUGGGCCCGGGGGCUACUGUCAGCGUUCUGGGAACAGGGGCCCAACACGGCCCGUCUUCACCAACACAAACCCAAGACCCUCGCGAGGGGCCAAGCCUCGCGGGGCGGAUGACGCGGAGCUUCCUCAGGCACGGCCUCGUCAGGCUGGCUCGCGAGGAGGCGGAGAGAUCAAGGCGGGGUACCUCACGAGGUGCCCGUGACGCAAGCCAUGACGACUCAGGGCGCCAGGCGGGUGCCAGCCCGCGCAGCGUCCUCCUUUCCUCUUUAGUGUAAAGGGGGCAAGCGCAGGCGUGGAGUACCGAGGCAUCAGGCAAAGGUUGCCAUUUCGGUGCAACGAGACCAAGACCAGGAGGACUACGAGACGGAGGUCAUCGUGGAGCCCAAGACGGCGUCAUCACCAGAGCUUUGCGCAGGCGAAGACUACUUUUGUCAGGAUAGCUGAUACCAGCUAUCCCCCUUCAAAUUAGCCCACCAUUGUUGGCUCCCUUCCCGCUCGAUAUUUGGGAAGAGGACCAGGGCCUCUAUAAAUAGGACCAGCCACCCACAGAGCAAAGGGGGCGGAGGGGGUUCGGUUGGUUUUGCUGGAGGCGGAGAGAGAGAGAGAAGGUGACUGAACUCCUCCGAGCAGUUCAUCGCCCUAGCCAAGAACAAACCCUCGCGAGGCUGUUCUUCCUUGUAUUGUUCAUCAUCAUCAGCCCAAGAGGCAAUCCACCACACCACACACUGGAGUAGGGUAUUACACCACAACGGUGGCCCGAACCAGUAUAAACCCUGUGUCUCUUGUGUUGUUCUUUCCGUAGUUUUAGAUCCUAGCAUGGCGGAGGGGUGCAGGUAGGUAGGAGGCGAAAUCUCCGCGCGCACCCCAGUGUUCAAACCUCAAGGGUCUGCCGGAACCAGAAAUCCGACACCAUGGACCACCUAGCAACGACUACAAGCACUGGAAGGAGUCGAAGGCACGCUGCCAUCAUCGCCCCUUCCUCACCGGAGCCGGACAAAAUUUAUUAUAGUAGACAGCCGAGAAGUCGACGUGCUAAGGCCCUAAAGGACGAUCACACCAGAGCAGCGAUCAUCGUAGAUGAAGAGAGUAGUAGAUGGGAAAGGUCAAACAUGUAACCACAUGAAUGAAGAUGAGUAAAACCUGCAUCCGAAUAGAUCCACCGAAGAUCAGCACCGACCGAACCCCACGAGAUCCGAUGGAGACACACCUCCAGACGUCGUCCGACAGCGCUAUACACACCAUCGGGACGAGGAUCAGACGUGGGAGACAUUAUUCCUACCAAGGGACAUCGCCACCGCCCCACAACCUCAACCAAGAGGUUGAACCUAACAAAAACAAGAACGGGCCCCUCCCAUCGAAGGCGGGGCGGACCAACGGCGACGCCGACGGGAGGAGGAAGAAGACUUUUCUUGAGAAGGAAAGACAACCAUGUAUGGGGCACAACAAAUGGGCGUCUAAGCGGCACAUUAACGUACUUUUGUGUGAAAAUGGUACGAAAUGUGGCCAAGAAUAUAUGUCGUCAUGAUCAAAUUUAGAGUUUGUCCCCGAAUUCAGAGAGAGGAGUGGUCUGCUCCUUCAGCCCCUUCCUCUUGCGGAUAUCGACUACACAUCAAUCGUGUUUGCGUUCUCUUUCUCGUGCUCUUACUUUUUUUGCAAGUUUGGCUUCCGCAUUCUUAUCUUGUUGACUGUUGCAAACUUGCAAUAGUAAGCUUAAAACUUCACAACUAAAAUUGUUUUUUUAUAACAGGUCUAUUCAACUCCCCCUUAAUAUAUUCCUUGAUCCUACAAUGACACAUUGCCAAGUUCAAGGGGGGAGUUAGCCAAGGAGUAUGGGUUCAGGGUCACCCGAACCGGUUUCGACUAGGCUUUGACAAUCCCAUAUGUGCGAAGGCUGAUGCCUCAAAUCUAAUGUUAAUGAAACCGAAAUUUUUGAUGUUGCGUAUGGCGUUUCUACAUGUUGCAAGUUUGUAUGGUGGCUGUUAUGUACAGACGAGCCAUAUGUGGCAACUAUUCCGGACAUCUGUUGCGCAUGGUUGACUUUUUUUUAUCUUGCAAAUGUAUUUAUCCGUUGUUGUCUGUGUUGAUUUGUUGCACGUGCUUGUCUUUCACGUUACUUGUCUUGUGACCACUUUUUUUCCCUACUGCAAAAAAUGUGUAUUUGUCGUGUGCCAAGGAUUUUUGGUUUCAUGUGGCAUGUUCAAAUUUGUCACAACGAUUUUUGGCAGGGUCAUGGGAGAAAAUGUUGCCACAAUGCCGCAUACAUACAACGAUAACGUUGCUGACAGGUGCAACAUUGGGGUGUGGAAUCUAUGGACUUAAGAAAGAGUUGGCCUGUGGAGUUGUCUAGAGUUGUAGAGUUGAUUGUAGUUGCUUGAAGAUAAAACUUUUGAUCUAUGAAUUUCAGGACUUGCACGGAGUUGAUUGCAGUUGCUUGAAGCUAUCAUUUCACAAUAGGAGUGUAUUCACAACAACCACGGUUUAAGUGGGCUCCACCCUUGCAGGAAAAGUAAGUCCAACACCAACAUACUCCCUCUGUUUCAAAUUAGUUGACUAGGAUUUGUCUAGAUACGGAUAAGUAUCUUACAAUCAAUAGUUGUCGACUAGGCCGAUCCACGCUCAAGAAAUACCAUGGGUAUUAUUUCUUCUAUAAAUGACCUUUUUCUAAGCUUAGUUGCUUCACUGAUCUCUCCAAAAACUUGUACCCACAUCUGGCUUUUUAAAAUCGUGUCAAACCGUUUGGCAUGUCUAAUACACGCAGUGACGGUUCGGCGCCACUUUGAGGGGGCAAGUGGUGUGCUUAAUAAGUUUUUAAAAGGGCUACUCAGGGAUAAGAAUCAAAUAUGGAUCCACUUGAUAAGUGGUGUGCUUAAUAAAAUAUGGAUCCACAAUAAGUUUUUAAUAUUGUGGAUUUGUGGGGGUGCUAGUGAGACAUGUGACAAAUGUACAAAAUAAAAUUUGCUCGAUGGCCCUAAAUAUGGAUCCACUUGACAAAUUAAUAAUGGUAAACUGUGGGGUGGCUCGCCAAAAACUGCCCCUUUCUCAUCUCAGCGCGUCAUCCUCGCCGAAGCAUUUCGUCGAGCGAGGGCCGCGCGCCGCCCAAAACCCCACAUCCCAAAUCAAAACCCUACGCUCCGCCGCCGCGCCAUGCUCCACUCCGGCCUCUCCAAGUCCCAGCCCCUACCGCUCCUCGCGGGAGCGUCUUCGCCUCGCCGCGCCCUCCUCGCCGGUCUCCUCCGCGCCGGGUACUUCUCUAAGUCCGCUACCUCCUCACCCGCGCUUCGUCCGUCCGCCACCCGUGCGAGCACCAGGGCGGCGACUACCCCGCGAGAUCCCUCGCGCUUCGGCCUGGGACACAGGGUCUCGUUCUCCACUGCACCAGAUGGUUCUGAUUCGGUCGGCGGCGGCGGGAGGUCGCUCCCUUGGCUAGCCGCCGGGAGCGUCGAUAGCGGCGUCCCCACCUCAAGGACUAGCGCCGGACGCUCCUCCUCGUGGGAGAGCUCCGCUGAUAAGUUCUUCUCUAAAGGCGACCAAAGUGCGCGAGUAGAGACAUUGGAAGAUAGCGUUUCAUACAAGGAGGGGGGAAUUGGAGGGGAGGAGAAUGAACCGAUUGACAAUCCCAAGUGGGGGCGGAUUAAGGAUAAGUUCCGGCAAAACGUGGCAAGGGAUGAAGGGUCCCGUGACCGUGGUGAGAGGUUUGAAAAACCGGAUGUGAGGCGGUGGAACAAGCAAGAGGACCGUGGUGAGAGGUUGGACAAGCCGGAUGUGAGGCGGUGGAACAAGCAAGAGGACCGUGGUGAGAGGUUUGACAAACCGGAUGUGNNNNNNNNNNNNNNNNNNNNNNNNNNNNNNNNNNNNNNNNNNNNNNNNNNNNNNNNNNNNNNNNNNNNNNNNNNNNNNNNNNNNNNNNNNNNNNNNNNNNNNNNNNNNNNNNNNNNNNNNNNNNNNNNNNNNNNNNNNNNNNNNNNNNNNNNNNNNNNNNNNNNNNNNNNNNNNNNNNNNNNNNNNNNNNNNNNNNNNNNNNNNNNNNNNNNNNNNNNNNNNNNNNNNNNNNNNNNNNNNNNNNNNNNNNNNNNNNNNNNNNNNNNNNNNNNNNNNNNNNNNNNNNNNNNNNNNNNNNNNGGUGAGAGGUUUGACAAGCCGGAUGUGAGGCGGUGGAACAAGCAAGAGGACCGUGGUGAGAGGUUUAGAGGGGAGAGGUUCAACCAGCCAGAUGUAAGGCGGUGGAACAAGCAAGAGGACUGGGGCAGGAAGACAUGGAAGGAGGUAGGGGAAUCGACAGUGCCAAAGAUGGUUGGGGAGGGGGUUUACGGUGUUGGGCCGGUACUUGCGGCUCUCACGGCUGGGAGGAGGGAGUUCUAUGCAUUGUACACACAGGAAGGAAUGGAUUUGAGCAGGAGCAACAAGAAGAAGAAGGACAAAAGGGGGAUUGAGAAGGUGCUGCUGAUGGCAGAGACUAUCGGGCUUAAAGUUAUUGAGGCGUCAAAGCAUGACCUCAACAUGGUGGUGGAUAACCGUCCACAUCAAGGUCUGGUGCUUGAUGCAUCACCCUUGGAAAUGGUGAAUACUAAGGAGUUGGAACGAGUCAGGGUUCGUGGUGGCAAGGCACCAGUCUGGAUAGCUUUGGAUGAGGUUAUGGACCCUCAGAAUUUGGGAGCCAUAAUUAGAUCAGCCUACUUCUUUGGUGCGGAGGGUGUUGUCUUGUGCGCUAAGAACUCUGCUCCAUUAAGUGGAGUAGUGAGCAAAGCUAGUGCAGGCUCGCUUGAGUUGAUUGAGCUGCUUUCGUGUAGGAAUAUGAUGCAGUUUCUGUCUUCAUCAGCUGAAAAUGGGUGGCGAGUUCUUGGUGGUACCGUCGCUCCAAAAGCUAUACCUCUCUCUGAAGUUACCACAGGGGAGCCAACAAUUCUGGUGUUGGGCAGUGAAGGCACCGGUCUGAGGCCCCUGGUUGAGCGAUCCUGCACACAUUUGGUCAAAAUUGCUGGUAAUGCUGAUGGAUUUGUUGUAGAAGAAGAAAUAGAUGCCACAGAUGCAGAUAUAGGGGAAGAAGGUGAUAAUUAUUCAGGUAUUCAAGAUAUGAAAUCAUUCCUUGCAGUAGAGAGCUUAAAUGUUAGCGUGGCAGCAGGAGUUUUGCUUUAUCAUCUGGCUGGAAAGAAUGUCCACCCUGUAACUGAGAAGCCUAGCAUCUCUCCUGUGUAAGGAUGUUCCAUGUUUCAUCCAUACCAUAGUUACUAAUAUUUGUUUUCUUGUACUCCCAUUAAGGAUGAACUUUUGUUUCUGUUGCAUGCUUUGAAUUUGCUGGUUUGACUAAUAAUUUAUUGCAUAGGUGUGAGGGCAACUUCUUUGAGAAAUAGCUUAUUUCACCAGGCUGAGUCAGAUUCUAUGCAUGUUUGUUUCAAGGCUAACCAUGCCAUAGCUAACCCUAGUUAAUUUGUGGUUUGCCGCAGAAGUGUGGCAAAAAUGUCUAUGAUGUAUGGGCCAUAUGGAUAAAAAAGUGUGGCAAGUCACAGUAGCUAGGAAUGUAUUUUAGAAGAGAACACGGUAGCUAGAAACCAAACACACACCUGAAAAACAGUGGCGAGCCUAAGUUAGGCGUGUCAAAUUGUGUGCAGGAACAAAACAGCCCCUGGACCUGUCAAUUGCAGAUACAUGAUUCCGGAGCAUAUAUUGACACCAUCAUAUCACUUAGUACUUAUUUUGGUGUAAUCUGGAACACACAUUAAAAGAGGAUGACUACUGCAAGACCAUCAUUCUGUUGUUAUCAUAUUUACUUACAUAUAACAAGCUAGUUUGUUGUGUCACUGGAAGUCUGAAACAUCUCUCUGCUAAGAGGUGAAAUAUUCUGCUUGAUUGUUGAAGUUCAUAUCACGGUAUCAUCAUUUGCUUUCAGACUUGAUCACCGAUCCUGUUGAGUGUUGAAACUUCCAAUUGCAGUGUAAUGUACCUUGAGCCAUCAAAGCUAUUUAUAUGUUGGUAUAUCCGUAUAUGAUUAGGUAGUACUAGUCAACUGAGCCAACAAAUAUGCAAUUGCAUUUGCAGUUUUGAACCGUAGCAACAAACUUUCUGCUUCUUUGGUGAACUGAUAAAUGACCUUACUUAAUUGAACGUUUCCAGCUGUUGAAGUGGUAUCCAGAAUUUUUUUCUGAUUAGUCUGUUAAUCCCAAUUUAUUGUAGUAAGUAAACUAAACUGACCGACCGACUGUUAAUAGUAAUCCCUGGAAGGAUAUCAAUCUUCACCAGCGGAUCAAUUAAUUGGGGAUGACUAUAGUUCUUUGACAUGUCAUGGUUACCAUGCAGAGAUGGACACAACUCUUGGUCUGUUACUCUGUUUAGGCAAUUGGACAAACAUUUAUGUGGAAUAUAUGCAUGACUGUCCUUUGCAUAACAUGUUGUAUAAUCUUGAAUUAAGCCUCCGUUUCCAGCUCAGGUUCAUUCAGUAAAGUUAUUUUUGGUGAAUUAUAGAUGUGGUAUUGAAAUACUUUUGCUUUCUAUUAUCUCUGGAGAUAAGUAUACAAAUGGGAUAAUUCAGCUCCUCGGUCACUUCAUUCUGUAUUAGUUUAUUUAUUAUCAAGAAAGAUUGUACCCAGUCACUGAGUGUUUAGCUAUGCUAUACUGCUAUCUAAUGGAUACAGGACCAGCAAAGAGUAAGUGCAAACCUAAAUAUCCAAAGCGGUCAAUAGUUGGCUAAAGUGACAAACUGACACUUGAAAGUUGUAGGAGAUGAUUUAGAGUUGAGUGUUCUAAUUAUGCUGAAGGGCUCAUGAAAGAUCUUCAAAGUCAUCUUCAGUUUCUUCAUAAUAUAUGCCGCAGGUAUUCAACAAUCUCAAUCAUUCAAUCUUUAUACUUGUUGACAACCAAUUUAUGUAGGAUGAAGCUCAAAUAUGCAAUUCUUAGUUGCUCCAACCAACCUUUAGUGACAUAUUAGUUCGGCACUCUGUAAUUACAGUUGAGAAUCAUAAGAUUAGCAUUGAUAGAAAAGUUGACAUUAACCAGUCUUCUAGGUGAGUGCCGGGAGGUACUGUGUCACAAGAGUAUGACUAUUAUUUCAUGUUAUUUUGGAAGAACUGUGGAUUUAUUUAUUAAUUUAUUACUACAGGAGAACCACCGGGAUUCAGUUUGACCAUUUACCGGCUCAUGUUUUCUCCUUUUGGAUAUAUGCUUUGUGUCCUUGUUGCUGUCUAAAGUAUUAAUUUUAAGCUGCAUUUUGAUUUCAACAGCAUUACAGGUUAGGAAGUUAAAGUAAACUAUCAUAAAUCUUCUUUGGUGCCCAUAAAUGUGGAUUAGUCAGAGGCUGCUCGUUUAGCAGAUGUUUUUGGUUGUCAGUUGGGGAAACUGCUGUUCACAUAUUUGGGUCUGCCAGUGAGUACUACCAGACCUAGGAUUGCUUUUCUGAUGCCUUUAGUGGACAGGAUGGAACGUAGGCUCAUUGCUAGUUCUUCCUUUCUGGCUCAGGGUGGCUGUUUGCAACUGCUGAACUCUGCUUUGUCACCAAUUUAUUAUUUUUGCAGCCUCCAGCUCCCUCCUGGGAUCCUGAAACAGCUUGAAAGAAUUCAGAGACAGUGCCAUCGGAGGGAAAAUUGUCUGGAUCCAAAGCCAUCUCUGGCUGCUUGGGAGUUAGUCUGUCGCCCCAAGUCGAAAGGAGGUUUGAUCCUCAACCCACGUAUUCAAAGUGAGGCUCUGCUGCUGAAACAUGUCAACAAGUUCUAUAAUAAACUUGAUAUCCCCUGGGUACAAUUAAUUGGAAUUCUUACUAUCAUGGUAUAGUACCACAUGCUACUGCCCUCUGCGCUUCUUAUUGGUGGAGAGAUAUCUCCAAAUUGAUGGAUGAUUUUCGGGCUGUCACUUGGGUUCAGGCCAAUAUGGGGGAUUCUAUUCUGUUUUUGGAAUGACAGUUGGCAGUGUGGUGGAUCAAUCCUGCCUAUGAAUCUUCGCCUCCCCUAGGUUAUUCUCUUAUGCCCUUGCUGAUAGUGCUUCUGUUCCUGAUGUCCUGGAUUGUGUGGAUAGUUCUGUUCUUUCCCACCUUCCUCUUUCACGUCAAGCCCAUUCUGAGUUCCAGACUAUGUAAGGCUGGAGGUGCAUCAUUUUGAUAGAGGGCAGAAGGAUGUUUGGCAUUGGAAGGAAGGCGAUCGAAUAUACAGGGCUAUAAGUUAUUAUAAUUUUUUGCACAAGUCUUUGGUUUACGACCCUUUGCUUACAUGGAUCUGGAAAAGUUGUUGUAUCCUAAAGAUCAAGGUGUUUGCCUGGUUGCUCAUCAUGGAUUGGUUGAAUUACUAGAGACAUGCUUCAGAGGAGGAAUUGGAAGGUCACUGAGGAUAUGCAUUGCGAGCUCUGCUCCUCAGGGGCCAGGGAAGACAGAAACCAUUUGUUCUUCCAAUGUAAUGAACUGACUAUGGCUCUAGAGUAUGGGCUUAUUUGCAGAUUACUUGUCCUUUUGUUCAGGACAUGAGUGACAUUGCCAUGCAAGCUAAGAGAGGUUUUGGUCAACCUUUCUUCAGUGAAGUGGUGUUUCUGGCCUGGUGGAAUAUCUGGCUAAUUCCAAAUGCUAAAAUCUUCGAGAAUGAAAGACCUACCUUUGUCAAGUGGAGGAGUGGUUUUAUUCAUGAUAUUUCUCUUUUGGCUCAUAGGAUCAAAGUGAAACACAGGGAUAUGUUGCUUAGAUGGAUUUCCUUCCUCCCCCCUUAGGUUUGUAUUUCUUUAUAUCCUGUUGCUAUUGUCUAUAAACCCCUGUAAUAUUGUUUGACUUGGAAUAAAGAGGAGGCGUGGCCCUACAGUGUACAGUUAAAAAAGAUUAUCACGACAGUUUAAAAGAAGGUUACUACUAGCACGCUUUCGACUUCACUGUCAUUUCAGGGAAUAGCUGGUCUGUUCAAUAAAGACUAAACUAUAGUAUCUGACCCUAGUUUACAUCUCUUCAUAUACAUUCAUGCACUGGAGUGGCUUCAUUUUGUUGUAGUGACCUGUUCUAGUAACAGUGUUCUUUUGGUAAACAUUAGCUGCAUAUUUUUUUUGGAAUAUUGUAAAAGCAGGCUGUCCAUUCAUAUGACACAUGAAGGUGUACUAAUGCACGACAACUACAUUGUUUUCUUCUCAAAAGAAGAACAUAGCUGAAGUGUCAAUUGUCAAUUGUCGGUUACUGGGGUUUGAUCUGAUAGAUCGUAAAGAAAUUGUUUUUAUAAUAUUCCUGACCAAAUCAUACUUGACUAGAGAGAAGAGGAGACAAGAACAAGAAACAGAAACCUAAUAUAUAUCUGAAACUGGACAACCCGUUCCAAAUAAUAUAUGGGAAUAUUCCACAUGUCAGUGCACAUGAAUAAAGUGGGUACCUAUUGCUGCCUUGUGUCGGACAAACGCAGGUAAGGCUUGGGAGCUUUUUUAAGUAGUAUGGUUUAAGAAACUAUAUCAAACAUUGUCUACUUUACUGCACCCUGAUCCUACUUUAUGAACUAGGUGUCACAAUCAGGAGUGGAGCCUGCAAGGUGUGGUGAUGUGGUUUUGAACUGUACUUGACCUUUCCUUUUAAUAUAAUGGUAUUACCUUUCGCCAUUUUCUUUUAAAAGAAUUAUGUGGUCCUGUUCUUGGAUGCAGCACAAUAAUUGGAUCACUGUACCUUUUUACUCAGAGAGGUGCCUUGCUGAUUUAUUUGUUCUUUGCAUAGCUAGUACCUGCAAUUUUGAUGUAAGAUGUUAGGUGAAUCCAUGCUAGACGCCUUCGUGCUGCACAUUCCUGGUGCGUCCAUUCCCUGCCUUCUGAUAGAGUAUAUUCUCUGGUUAUCUGAUUGCUGCUCUUUUAUCUAUGUUUGUUCUCUUAUUUGAUCCAUCCACCUGAAUAGUCGAUGUGCCAUCUAGUAUCUUUUGAUGAAUGAUGAUGAUAACAUCAUAGCAAUGCACGUAUCGACACAUGAUCCAGUCAGCUGCAGCUCACAUGCGUGGAACUGUGAACCCAUACACUUGAAUAUGUGAUUAGUUAGUGUUGGUACAGAAGGUGAAUCGAUAUUGUAGAACAUUCUUCCCGAACUGCUACACAGACUCUUUUGAUGCAUGAGCCCCUUGUGGGCUGAAGGUGCGUCUAUGGGAUGUGCACAUGUCCCAUUGCAAGUUUGUGACUGUAGCAUUAGGAAUUAGCGCGCACAUUACAAGACAUCUCUUGCUCAUGGGCUCCCAACAUGUGAAACUGCUGGUGUCCUCAGUUACGUGUGUGCCUUUACACUUCUGUAGUCUCUUCGAUUGGCAGGUUGAUUUUAAGUACUCUCUCCGAUCCAUAUUACUACUUGUUUUAGAUUUGUCUAGAUACGGAUGUAUCUAGACACGAUUUGUCUAGAUACGGAUGUAUCUAGACACUACGUGUCUAGAUACAUCCGUAUCUAGACAAAUCUAAGACAAGUAGUAAUAUGGAUUGGAGGGAGUAUCGAGAAGUAAACAACUAGUAGUGGCAUAGUGGAAUAGAAAAUUCACAGUUGGGUGCUUGAAAUAAGGUUGGCUUUGUCAUUCUGCAUUAUCUUAUCACCUUUUCUGGCUUUCACCGACACCAAAAACACCGUGCUUGCAAAAGCGCUACCGUUUUUUAGUCCAUAUUAGUAAAACAUACAUUUGCACACUGCAAGUGGCAACACAUGAGUGCACAACACAACGGGGAUAAAGAUGUCCGGUAAAGACAUUACGAAAGGGCUAAGAUUCUUUGAUAAAUCCACCCCACCUCUGCUACUUUUCCUACUGUCUGGAAUUUAGCGAUGGUCCAGUGACAAAGACCCUUUCUUUGCCCGCAAUUUCAAAGUUGUGAGCAUCAAGGUGAAUAUCCCCUGUACCACAAAAGCUUUUCUCCUCUCAGUCUCCUUUACCAUCAGCUGACCCGUAAGCUUGUUUGGUGCUCGUAUGCUUCAUUAUACAGAUUUAUGUCGACACACAUACAGGUGUUACUCAUCUGUCGAAACAGCUGACCUGCCUGCACUGUAGUUGUUUCAUUGACAACAUCCUGCACACUGAAGGAGGAACAAGUAUGCACGUACUAUAAUAAGGUAUGCUUCGUAACGACCAAACACAAAUGUCCUCCUAUUGGUGUCUAUUGUACAAUCUAGUUGCAUGGGCUUGUCUUGGUACUGUACUGUAUAUAAGUAUUUCAAUUUGCUUUCGUCAGUUUGGCUUCUUGUAUUGUGGGGCGUUGCUAAAAUCCGCUCUAGAAGUGAUAUGAUCAAGUUGGCAAGUUGAAGCCAGUGUGCAGUUUCUGUCAUCCAGAAAGAACCAAUGCCACCUGUUUUUAAUCUUGACUUUGUCAAGAGCCUUUUGAUAUGAUCAUCAGAGCAGUAUUGGGAUAACUUCUAGGUUUGGCAAGUGGUGCUAUCAGAUGGGUAUAAUCACUAGCGCACCUAGAACACGUACUCGUAUAAAAACAGUACAUACUGUUGAUUCUUAGCAUCACAGAGGCGAAAGGAUGAAAAGGUUGGCCCUCCUGUGUGUAGUCAUGAUCUUUGCCUCUAUGAGGAGCGAUUGGUAGUUUGAUGCCCAGCCAGUAUGAAGGCAUCAGCACAUAUUUUACUUUCGGCAAUUUUGUGGUUUGGUCAAACCUUUCUCAUGGUUUUCGUGACCACAAAUUUAGAAAGGGGUGUGGUUGGAAAGAUAAUAUUGAAUUAACAACUCAGCUACUGGACCCUUCAGCCUUUUUAUAUCCUAAACUUCUAUAGCAUAUUCCACAUGAAGUUGCUACUCCAUAUAUAUCGUUCGGUGGUGUGAUGCUAUCAGGACAGGCCAGGUGCUGGUCCUCUUUUGUCAUGAACAGAUUUGCAUGUCAGGUUACAAAUUUGUCAGAGAAAAUAGGCGCCAAAUCUAUGUAACUGAAUCGAGAACUAUAGCGUUAAAUACAAGGUAGCCUAAUUUACAAAAUAGGCAGGAUAUCUCCAUGCAUCUGCGGUAUGCUAAUUCAUCUCACUACAAGAAAAAAAGGUUACCGAACUACUAAUCCUCAAAAAGGAUAACGAUCUCCAAACUGACCACAGGAUUUAGGUCUCCCCUGCUUCUUAGGAGUUCCUUUAGUUUACGGCUUCAGUGAGCAACAUUCCAAAUGGUUGAAAAGGUGUCACCAUUUCAGCCAUUUGCUGCUCUCUCAGGAGUAGCUCCAAUCUGAAACGAAAGGAAAAAAAAA
RNAcentral lists this long non-coding RNA (19718 nucleotides) under Triticum aestivum (bread wheat). RNAcentral's name for it is "long non-coding RNA (TAES_LNC025906)". The stretch from base 17825 to 17994 matches the Rfam family "MIR1120/MIR1122 microRNA precursor family". The record is from RNAcentral. Lineage: Eukaryota; Viridiplantae; Streptophyta; Magnoliopsida; Poales; Poaceae.